UUUGGGUACUGGUGGGGUCCCUCGGCCUGGCCUGCACCCUCUUGCAAUCCGGGACCCCUCAGGGGAUGUCAGAGAGCCAGUUUUGGCCCAAUCCCUGCAGGCCAGGCUGAGGGACCCCACCAAUGCAUG
Molecule: non-coding RNA, 129 nt
Organism: Myotis brandtii (Brandt's bat)
Lineage: Eukaryota; Metazoa; Chordata; Mammalia; Chiroptera; Vespertilionidae
Source: Rfam